Molecule: unclassified non-coding RNA, 21 nt
Filed under: Chlamydomonas reinhardtii
Lineage: Eukaryota; Viridiplantae; Chlorophyta; Chlorophyceae; Chlamydomonadales; Chlamydomonadaceae
Description: small RNA Cre_3738
Source: RNAcentral
UUACGGGUGCUAGUUUGAACC